RNAcentral lists this ribosomal RNA (465 nucleotides) under uncultured bacterium. Its description in RNAcentral is "partial 16S ribosomal RNA". It matches the Rfam family "Bacterial small subunit ribosomal RNA", at positions 339 to 795 of the family's 1533-position model. The record is from RNAcentral.
CUACGGGGUGCAGCAGUGGGGAAUAUUGGACAAUGGGGGAAACCCUGAUCCAGCAAUGCCGCGUGUGUGAAGAAGGCCUGCGGGUUGUAAAGCACUUUCGGUUGGGAGGACUGCUUCUAGCACUAAUAUUGUUGGAAGUUGACGUUACCUUCAGAAGAAGCACCGGCUAACUCCGUGCCAGCAGCCGCGGUAAUACGGAGGGUGCAAGAGUUAAUCGGAAUUACUGGGCGUAAAGCGCGCGUAGGCGGCUAGAUCAGUCGGGUGUGAAAGCCCCGGGCUUAACCUGGGAACUGCAUCCGAUACUGUCUAACUUGAGUACAGGAGAGGAGAGUGGAAUUCCACAUGUAGCGGUGAAAUGCGUAGAUAUGUGGAGGAACACCAAUGGCGAAGGCAGCUCUCUGGCCUGAUACUGACGCUGAGGUGCGAAAGCGUGGGGAGCAAACCGGAUUAGAUACCCCCGUAGUC